This 64-nucleotide transfer RNA is filed under the name Nanna fasciata. Its description in RNAcentral is "tRNA-Asn". The record is from RNAcentral. RNAcentral also lists the same sequence under 1 other name. Lineage: Eukaryota; Metazoa; Arthropoda; Insecta; Diptera; Scathophagidae.
UUAAUUGAAGCCAAAAAGAGGCUUAUCACUGUUAAUGAUAAAAUUGAGAAAAACUCCAAUUAAA